This 69-nucleotide transfer RNA is filed under the name Synallactes sp. Y30071. RNAcentral's name for it is "tRNA-Trp". It matches the Rfam family "tRNA". Rfam says of the family: Transfer RNA (tRNA) molecules are approximately 80 nucleotides in length. Their secondary structure includes four short double-helical elements and three loops (D, anti-codon, and T loops). The record is from RNAcentral. Lineage: Eukaryota; Metazoa; Echinodermata; Holothuroidea; Aspidochirotida; Synallactidae.
GAAGAUUUAGGUUAACUAAACCAUAAGCCUUCAAAGCUUAUAACACAAAUUAAAACUUUGUAAUCUUUG